Dama dama (fallow deer) is the source of this 5442-nucleotide long non-coding RNA. RefSeq lists it as uncharacterized. The record is from RefSeq and is a predicted model, not a curated record. NCBI's taxonomy places the organism in Eukaryota, Metazoa, Chordata, Mammalia, Artiodactyla, Cervidae. The transcript has 10 exons.
CCCCUGGAGAAGGAGAUGGCAACCCACUCCAGUAUUCUUGCCUGGAGAAUCCCACGGAUGGAGGAGCCUGGAGGGCUACAGUCCGUGGGGUCGCAAAGAGUCGGACGCGACUGAGCGACUUCCCUCUCACUCUCUUUAUGCUCAGCGGACUUUGAGGACUAGGCUGCCUUCAGCAUCCUUUUUCAGCUGUCCCCUGGACCUGGCGACACACCCCCUGUGUGUUGCGGAAUGGCCCUCAGGGGUGGAGAGUCCGCACCCUCCGUGAGGACUCCCUCAGUAGCAGCUGUGAGAAGAACUGAGGAGCGAGAGCAUUUGCCCGGACGUUCGCAGAGCGGUCGUCGCCGCCGGCGUUGGUCCCCAGGUGUGGGACCCGCCGACGGAGGAAGACCGCAUUUUCCUUCCGAGAACAUCGAUCGCCAUAAACACGCCCUACUUUACGGGGCUCUCAGACCUGAACGCCACGUCCACCGGAGAUUCAGACGGUCCGAUGGAAAUUGCACUGGUGAUUUAAACGCAGGCGAAUGAAAGUUUUAAGGGUGUCAGUGGGAGAUGGUACAAGCCUGUCCCAGGAUGUUGGUACAAGCCUGUCCCAGGAUGUAGGUGACUUUACGGCUUACCCAGUCUCCUAAGAGAGCACCCGGGCUCUGUUGCUCCACAGCAUGUGGGGUCUUCCCGGACCAGGAAUCGAACCUGCGUCCAUUGUGCUGGCAGGCGGAUUCUUCACCACUGGGCCCCCACCGGGGGCCGGCCCACGAGCACACUCUUUAGGACCCGACUUGGAAUUCUUGACUGUGACGGCCAGUAUUCACACGAGGUGCUCCGGGCUCCAAACAUCCCAUGUCUGGUCCGUACCUCGGAACAGAGUACUCCCCUGGGUUCUGAACAUCUCAAGACCGUAAGAGAAACAGACGGUCACGACCCAGCCACGCGCCCAUCUUCGCUAAACAAGUGAUGGGACUGGUACUCAUUAAAAAAGCGUAACCCUUCAAAAUUGUGACAGCUUGUUGCUCUCGUGGCCUGAGUCCGUGUCCGAAAACACAUCAGGUCCCAGUCUCUAGAAUCUGGGAACGUGAUGUUUUUUGGGAGAAGUCUUUGCAGAGCUCAGCCCUGCCUGAAAAUCCCAGCUAUUCAAGGUUUGAAAAGCGAGCGUGAAGGUGACCAUGAGGAGGGACAGCCUUUGCAAACGUGCUCUGAGAAUGGAACCAUGAUGUCUCCUGAACCCUUCUGGUCCUUGAUUGCUGAACUCUGACCCUCCGGGAAGUCCUUGUCCAUCCAUACGCCCGCCCUGCCCGGGCUGUUGCCUGGGAACCGGGAGGCUCUGGAAAUGCCGAGGGAUCGAGGCAGGUCACCAGCAGAGAAGUGGAAACAGACACUCAACCUUCAGAUCCAGGUCAGCGCUCCUCCGCGUCGGCGGAGAGCACACAGCCUUCCACGUCGGUCUGGUGUGUCUGCCGAGCGGAACUGGAACACCCUCUGCCAGAAGACGUCGACGACGACGGGCGAGGUUCUAUUUUUUUCCUCUCGCUGAGAUGGUUUUGCAUUCAUUACAAGUCAAGCUGUUUCACAGAUGCCCGUUGGACAGAGAAAGGAAGCUGCCUCUUCUCACCAGCCAGGGGUCUCCGAGGAUAAUCGAAGCCCCCAGGGGCGUUGGAGAAGACUCUUGAGAGUCCCUUGGACUGCAAAGAGAUCCAGCAAGUCCAUCCUAAAGGAAAUCAGUCCUGAAUAUUCACUGCAAGAACUGAUGCUGAAGCUUCGGUCCUUUGGCCACCUGCUGUGAAGAACUGACUCACUGGAAAAGUCCCUGAUGCUGGGAAAGAUUGAGGACCAGAGGAGAAGGGGACGACAGAGGAUGAGAUGGUUGGAUGGCAUCACCGACUCAAUGGACAUGAGUUUGAGCAAGCUCUGGGAGAUGGUGAUGGACAGGGAGGCCUGGCGUGCUGCGGUCCAUGGGGUCGCAAAGAGUUGGGCAUGGCUGAGCGAGUGAACAACUACCUCCUCAGCAACAAAGGUGAGCAAAGGACAAGAAGAAUCAGGCUUCCCAAAAGAGGACUCACGUAGGCAGAUUCUUUACCCGCCGAGCCACCUGCGAAGCCCAAGAGAUGGAACCACUUAAGAAGUCAGGGGCUGUCUCGGUGAGAGUGAUGCCAACUGCUUUGACAAAGAGCCCCAGAAUUUUGUCAUCUUACCGCAAAGGGCAUGCCCCGAAGCAUGUGGGACGUCAGUUCCCUGACCGGGGAUCAAACCCGGGACCCCUGCAUUGGAAGUGCAAGAGUCUCAACUUCCGGACCGCCAGGGAACUUACCAAAGGACCUUUCUCCAUGUGUAGUUUCUCCGCAAGACAGCCUGUGCAAACCCGUUUCUUCACGUUCUGCUGCAGCGCUGGUGGCCGUGGACAAGAAGUCACUUCUCUCCGGAAGGACAGAGUUUUUGGACGGCCCUGCCUUUUUGAGCCCAGCGCCAUUUAGCUGCAGAGAGAUCAGGCGGCUUCAGUUCUGUGUGGCCUCCUCUUCCGCCCUUGGUCUUCUCUGGUUGCGGUGUGUGGACUCCUCACGGCGGUGGCUUCUCUUGUGGAGCACUGUGGCCUCCUAGGGCCUCCUAGGGCGCGAGGGUUUCAGUAGCCGCGGCUUCCGGGAUUUGUUGCCCCAUGGCACGUGGGAAUUGCCCCGGACCAAGAAUCGAGCCCGUGUCUCCUGCAUUGGCGGGCAGCUUCGUUACUGCUGAGACACCACGGAAGUUGCAGUCUCUUGUUUUGCGACACUGACUACAUGGUAACGUGACCUGGGGAUCUGAAUAACAAAUCCAGGGCUAGGUUCUCAAUCCAGGAGAUUUCGUUUCAAUGCACCUGCCCCUCAAAAUCUGUGGUCCAUGGACCCAGAGCACGGGUAUCACCUUGGAGGGGCGGGAAAUGCAGAAUUUAGGGGCCGCUGCUUCAGAUACGGCAAGUCAGAAUCUCUGUUGUGCCUGACUCUCUGCGACCCCACGGACGGUAGCCCGCCAGGCUCCUCUAUCUGUGGGAUUGUCCAGGCAAGGAUACUGGAGUGGGUUGUCAUGUCCUUCUCCAGGGGAUCUUCCCCACCCAGGGAUCGAACCUGCGUCUCCUGCAUUGCAGGCAGAUUCUUUAGCACCAGAGCCAUCUUUGUUCAGUUGCUCGGUUGCGUCUGACUCUUUGUGACCCCAUGAACCACAGCACACCAGGCUUCCCUGUCCAUCACCAACUCCCGGAGCUUGCUCAAACUCAUGUCCAUCGAGUCGGUGAUGCCAUCCAACCAUCUCAUCCUCUGUCAUCCCCUUCUCCUCCUGCCCUCAAUCUUUCCCAGCAUCAGGGUCUUUUCCAAGGAGUCCGUUCUUCACAUCAGGUGGCCAGAGUAUUGGAGCUUCAGCUUCAGCAUCAGUCCUUCCAAUGAAUAUUCCCAAGUAAGAAUCUGUGCUGUCCCAAGAUGCCUGGGUGACUCAAAAAAACGUUGAGACUUUAGAAGCCCUAACCUAGUAAGAUUUCUCAGAUCCAUAUGUUAUGGGGUUUUCUCCUUGCAAAGCAUGACACGUCAUACUGUAUCUCCUGAAAUUAGAAUCUCUUACCAGGCAGUCCAUCCACGAAAACCUUCUCCCCCCACCCCCAAGCACCUCCUUCACAUGACUGAGAGACACAGCCUCUGCAUUUUUAUUUUAUUUUUAGAUCUCUUUAAUAGACACUUGCCCCCACAACCCUUUAAUUUAACACAGCAUCCAUGAUGAGCCAGAAACGAACCUGAAACCUCUUUCAAAGAAAACAGUGUUGAGAAAGAAUCUUUUGACACUUCAUCAUUUUUUUCUCCCCCUAAACCAAAGCUAACCACCGCUCCCUCCCCCUCCCCCUCUAGAGCCGCAAACCAUCCACUCCCUUUCCAGGGCAUCAUGGCACUCUUAAAAACAAAUUAUACAUAAAAAAUUCGCCACCACAAAUUCCCAGAUGAUCAGUAACGGGGCAAGUAGGCACAGCUCAAGAAGAAGCAAGAAAAAAAAAAAAAGUGGGGAGGGGAAAAAAAAAAAAGGAACCAUUCUUUCCGCGAUGGCUUUAUUUUUUUAAUUUGGAAAUUGGCUUCCUUUUUGAAUUUGUCUUCCAAGAUGUACAGUGGCUUAAGCGGUGGCCCCUUGCCAUCUGCUUUACUCAAUUUGAAACUCCUCUCAUCAUAGUAUUUUUUUUGACCACCACUUUCUCUGUUCUUUUCAUCUACCUGCUCCGUGACAGUGAAAAUGUGCAUUUGCUCUGAACAGCUGCAGUUUUCGAGGUCUUUGCCAGAAUCCUCAAAGCGGAGGCAUUUGCUUCUCUUUGUUAAGUUUAAAUUUUUUUUUUUUUUCAUUUACACACUGCCACGCUGUAGAUUGUGGGUGAUUCCAUUCAUGUCUGGUGCUUGUCAUGAAUCUUCACUGUUUGCAUUUUGCUUGAAGAUGUGUUAUGUUUUGCAUUUAUCGCAUAGUCUUACAUUAUAUGAGGGUGGCUCAAAAGGUAAGGAAUCCGCCUGCAUUGCAGGAGACCUGGGUUUGAUUCCCUGGGUCAGGAAGAUCCCCUGGAGAAGGGAACGGCAACCCACUUCAGUAUUCUUGCCUGGAGAAUCCCAUGGACAGAGGAGAGACUGGCGGGCUGCAGGCCACAGGGUCACAAAAGAGGCGGACACAGCCGAGUGACUGACACUUACACUUUUCGUGUAGUAAAAUUAUGGCAGACGUUUGUGUGUGGGUUGUGGUCCCUCUGUAAAAACAGUUCCAGUAAAAAUGUCUCAAGUGUCACUCUCCUCCCUAUCUUCUGCAUGCAGUCAAAUUAAAGAUUCAAAGUAUUUCUGGAACAUCAAAGGUGACCUCUGACUCCAGAGCUAAAACAAAAGACGUUUCCAGCCUUUUGGAAGGAUGUCGCUCCUAUUUUCCAAACGCUGGUCCUCUAAUAGUUUGCAAAUGCAAAAGGCAUCCUUUAAAGAAACACCCAGGAGGCAGGGGGCUGGAAGGAAUCAAAGCAACAUCGGAUGCACACGGUAGUGUCACAUCUGGGGAGGAAUGUUUUAAAAUACUUUCGGUCCGCAUUUCUGCUUUCAAAGAAAAGCCUCUGUUUCCUGUGGGUUGAAUGGUUUGUCUGUUUGCCUCCUGAUUGGGAGAUGGGAGGAGAGAGGACACACCAGGGCCAGCGAGCAGGUUCAGUUUGAAUGCACGACUCCUAACGCGCUGGGAUUGGAGCCAGACGGAGGAAUCCUUCCACCAAAAGACAGCAAUAUGAUGAUAAUAACGCGAUGCAUCAUGGCAAUGUUGAUACAUAUGCUAUAAUAUGCUACUAUAUAUUAUUACUGUGUAUAUAAUGUAUAAUUAUAAUACUAUAUAUUAUCAUAUAUAAUAAUGCUAUAUAUUAUGAUAUAUAUAAUAUGUAAUAUACUACUAUAUUAUUACCAUAUAUAAUAAUAUAUAUAUCACUACCAUAUA